GACGGGGGGGGGUGCUAUACAUGCAAGUCGAACGCUUUGUGGUUCAACUGAUUUGAAGAGCUUGCUCAGAUAUGACGAUGGACAUUGCAAAGAGUGGCGAACGGGUGAGUAACACGUGGGAAACCUACCUCUUAGCAGGGGAUAACAUUUGGAAACAGAUGCUAAUACCGUAUAACAAUGACAACCGCAUGGUUGUUAUUUAAAAGAUGGUUCUGCUAUCACUAAGAGAUGGUCCCGCGGUGCAUUAGCUAGUUGGUAAGGUAAUGGCUUACCAAGGCGAUGAUGCAUAGCCGAGUUGAGAGACUGAUCGGCCACAAUGGGACUGAGACACGGCCCAUACUCCUACGGGAGGCAGCAGUAGGGAAUCUUCCACAAUGGGCGAAAGCCUGAUGGAGCAACGCCGCGUGUGUGAUGAAGGGUUUCGGCUCGUAAAACACUGUUGUAAGAGAAGAAUGACAUUGAGAGUAACUGUUCAAUGUGUGACGGUAUCUUACCAGAAAGGAACGGCUAAAUACGUGCCAGCAGCCGCGGUAAUACGUAUGUUCCAAGCGUUAUCCGGAUUUAUUGGGCGUAAAGCGAGCGCAGACGGUUAUUUAAGUCUGAAGUGAAAGCCCUCAGCUCAACUGAGGAAUUGCUUUGGAAACUGGAUGACUUGAGUGCAGUAGAGGAAAGUGGAACUCCAUGUGUAGCGGUGAAAUGCGUAGAUAUAUGGAAGAACACCAGUGGCGAAGGCGGCUUUCUGGACUGUAACUGACGUUGAGGCUCGAAAGUGUGGGUAGCAAACAGGAUUAGAUACCCUGGUAGUCCACACCGUAAACGAUGAGUGCUAGGUGUUUGAGGGUUUCCGCCCUUAAGUGCCGCAGCUAACGCAUUAAGCACUCCGCCUGGGGAGUACGACCGCAAGGUUGAAACUCAAAGGAAUUGACGGGGACCCGCACAAGCGGUGGAGCAUGUGGUUUAAUUCGAAGCAACGCGAAGAACCUUACCAGGUCUUGACAUCCCUUGACAACUCCAGAGAUGGAGCGUUCCCUUCGGGGACAAGGUGACAGGUGGUGCAUGGUUGUCGUCAGCUCGUGUCGUGAGAUGUUGGGUUAAGUCCCGCAACGAGCGCAACCCUUAUUACUAGUUGCCAGCAUUCAGUUGGGCACUCUAGUGAGACUGCCGGUGACAAACCGGAGGAAGGUGGGGAUGACGUCAAAUCAUCAUGCCCCUUAUGACCUGGGCUACACACGUGCUACAAUGGCGUAUACAACGAGUUGCCAACCCGCGAGGGUGAGCUAAUCUCUUAAAGUACGUCUCAGUUCGGAUUGUAGGCUGCAACUCGCCUACAUGAAGUCGGAAUCGCUAGUAAUCGCGGAUCAGCACGCCGCGGUGAAUACGUUCCCGGGUCUUGUACACACCGCCCGUCACACCAUGAGAGUUUGUAACACCCAAAGCCGGUGGGGUAACCUUCGGGAGCCAGCCGUCUAAGGGACAGAAU
This 1480-nucleotide ribosomal RNA is filed under the name Weissella confusa. RNAcentral describes it as "bacterial SSU rRNA". It matches the Rfam family "Bacterial small subunit ribosomal RNA". Lineage: Bacteria; Bacillati; Bacillota; Bacilli; Lactobacillales; Lactobacillaceae. The record is from RNAcentral.